RNAcentral lists this transfer RNA (70 nucleotides) under Megacopta horvathi. RNAcentral's name for it is "tRNA-Gln". It matches the Rfam family "tRNA". From Rfam's summary of the family: Transfer RNA (tRNA) molecules are approximately 80 nucleotides in length. Their secondary structure includes four short double-helical elements and three loops (D, anti-codon, and T loops). Lineage: Eukaryota; Metazoa; Arthropoda; Insecta; Hemiptera; Plataspidae. The record is from RNAcentral.
ACAUAUAUGGUGUAUGUUGCACAUAAAGUUUUGAUCUUUAUAAGUUAUGGUUAAAUUCCAUUUAUAUGUA